CGCGAGUGCAACCCCCGACACUAACGGCCUUUACGCGACAUCCGAGCAGCGUGUCUAUCCCAAAGGCCUAGGAGCAUUUGCCCGGCUCGGUCAAAUCUAGCGCAAGUUUGAAGCCUGCGGCCUCGCAAUUUUAGCAGCUUCGUUCCAGGCCAGGCUUCCUGACCACAGCCUCACCUUUGAGCAGCUCAGAGCCCUGCCUGCCAGGAUGCGAGCCACUGCCUGGAUCGUGGCUCUGCAGGGCCACCCAUGAUGGAACAGGUCGCCUGGUGAGGUGCUGACCAGCUAGAGGACCUCCUGACCCCUCCACUUGUCUGCUGGUGUGGAAAAGCCUGGACCCUCCCUCUUGGAGCCUCAGUUUCCCUAUCUGUAAACUUCGGUCUAUCCCAAGCUGAAGAACUGGCCAGUCCCUGCCAUAUGCCUCACUUUCCCCUGGGACACAUUUUAAUAUCCCUUUCCUGGCCAGGUGCAAUGGCUUCCCCAUGUAAUCC
Molecule: long non-coding RNA, 488 nt
Filed under: Homo sapiens (human)
Lineage: Eukaryota; Metazoa; Chordata; Mammalia; Primates; Hominidae
Description: non-protein coding lnc-C22orf15-2:1
Source: RNAcentral